AUGGAUGGAUGGAUGAAUGUGGAAGUAAAAACAGGGGAAUGUUGGCGUUCUUGGAUAGAAUUGUCAGUCCAAAGAAAGAAAACGAGAGAAGAAAAGAAACUGAAAAAGGAAUGUAAUAUGUUUGUGUAUCUGCUGUAUAUGCAGGAAAGAAUUCAGUGGUGGUGUUUGGACUCUGCAGAAAUGCUGCUUAGUACAAAAGAAUCAACGAAUCUUGUGCGGGAACGCGGCGGCGCUGGGCAUAAGAAAGGCUGUCUUGAGCUGCGUCGCCACAGCCACGUCGCAGCAGACCCCUCCGUCUCCGUGCCCGGGCGCUCUCCCCUGCUCCAGCGCUGCAAUCCGGGCCGAAUCAGCACCUUCCUCCGUCGUCGAUCUGCGGCCCCUUCAUGCUUCAUGCCCAUGGUGUGGUCGACAUACCGCCCCGACACGCUGCACUGUGCCUAG
RNAcentral lists this ribosomal RNA (441 nucleotides) under Triticum aestivum (bread wheat). Its description in RNAcentral is "partial small subunit ribosomal RNA". Lineage: Eukaryota; Viridiplantae; Streptophyta; Magnoliopsida; Poales; Poaceae. The record is from RNAcentral.